CAGAGGUCUCAAGCGUUGUUCGGAUUCAUUGGGCGUAAAGGGUGCGUAGGCGGCGAGGUAAGUCGGAUGUGAAAUCCCGGGGCUCAACCCCGGAACUGCAUUCGAUACUGCUUUGCUUGAGUACUGGAGAGGAGACUGGAAUUUACGGUGUAGCAGUGAAAUGCGUAGAUAUCGUAAGGAAGACCAGUGGCGAAGGCGAGUCUCUGGACAGUUACUGACGCUGAGGCACGAAGGCCAGGGGAGCAAACGGGAUUAGAUACCCCGGUAGUCCUGGCAGUAAACGGUGCACGUUUGGUGUGGGAGGAUUCGACCCCUUCCGUGCCGGAGCUAACGCGUUAAACGUGCCGCCUGGGGAGUACGGUCGCAAGAUUA
RNAcentral lists this ribosomal RNA (372 nucleotides) under uncultured organism. RNAcentral's name for it is "bacterial SSU rRNA". It matches the Rfam family "Bacterial small subunit ribosomal RNA", at positions 526 to 896 of the family's 1533-position model. The record is from RNAcentral.